GCCUGAGUACAGACUACCGCAAUUCUGCCGUUUAGUCUUGGGACUCAGUUGCAAGCGCCCACAACGCCACAAUGAAGACAACGGUGCUCAUACUAGCCGUCCUUCUUCUCUCAGCAGUGAUACUGACGGAAGCUCAGCGUAAUACCGGAAAGCAAGCCUCGGGGGGCCGACGGGGAGGAGGACGCCAGCCAUCAAAUUCAAAGAAAUGUGGCUCUUACGUCUGUACUGCAAGGCAGCGCUGUGAGAGACAACUAGUACCGGAACCUACAUGUGCCAACUUAUGAGCUUACCGGAAAGAAAAGCACCCUGGAUGAACGUCAACCAAGUCAACAAGCUGGUACGCUAAUAAAGUUCAUAGUAAUCAUAGAGAA
This 371-nucleotide long non-coding RNA is filed under the name Dermacentor andersoni. Its description in RNAcentral is "uncharacterized LOC126522621". Lineage: Eukaryota; Metazoa; Arthropoda; Arachnida; Ixodida; Ixodidae. The record is from RNAcentral.